UAAAACAGACAGAGAGACAACUGAAGGGGAAUACAUGAAAUGUGUGUGUGUGUGUGCACUUGUGGUGGGUGUAGGUGUUUUCUUCUUUCUUUCUUUCUUUCUUUCUUCUUUUUCGUUUUCG
Molecule: non-coding RNA, 121 nt
Filed under: uncultured eukaryote
Lineage: Eukaryota
Source: RNAcentral